Brachypodium distachyon (stiff brome) is the source of this 2110-nucleotide long non-coding RNA. RefSeq lists it as uncharacterized. The transcript is spliced from 4 exons. Lineage: Eukaryota; Viridiplantae; Streptophyta; Magnoliopsida; Poales; Poaceae. The record is from RefSeq and is a predicted model, not a curated record.
GGAUAACGGUAAAAAAACGUACCCAAAAUAUAUACCGAAAUUUUCUCCGCUUCCAUCGUUCCCUUCUCCCUCCGCGAUUAUCUCCAGAUUCCAUCCGGCGCCGUCGCAUCUCCUGCUCUGGCGCGACGUCUCCUUACCGGCGCCCCUCCUCCACUGCACGUCUCUUCCAAUCUCAUACUCGCCUCGCACCCUCCGCCUCCGUGCUCACCGCCCUAGCCGUGCCGCUCGUCUCGCCCUCUUCGCCCCCACGGCCGACACCGUUGAGCCGAUGGAUCUCCCUCGUUCUCGCCCCUUCCGCUUCUGCGGUCGCUGCCGCCGAACAGGCCGAGAUGGAAUGGAGCUGCUCCCCAACCGCCCCCUCUCCUCCACCUCUUCCAUACCCCCGCCACGCCAAUCAUCUCGCCCUCUCUGCCUCGGCGGCCGACGCGCGGCCAUGCCACCUCUGCUCUGCCCACAACUACGACAAAGCUUCCUGCCUCUUUAUUCUGAGUUUACGUCUUGCUUUCAAGUGCGGGACUGCACUGGCACUCUCGCUUGAUCCCUUACUACUCUUUUGAGCAGUUUUGUGUGCAAAGUUGAGAAAGUUGGGGCCAGCAAACGCAUUAGAGUAAGCUUCUUUCAUCCUCCUAGAGUUUUCUCCCAUGAUUUUGCAAGUAGAGCAGGUUUCAAAGCAUUUGUCAACUGGCCUAGUGCAAUAUAGCUCAUUUAAAGUUGAGUUAGGGGACUGUAUUUUCAUGUCUAAAGGCAAUGAGAAAAGCAAUGACCUGCACUACAUCCACAUGAAGGCUUUUAAGAGCGAACACAAAUAUUUCAUUUAGUACAACAUAGGUAAUGUAUUUGUUUAUUUUGAGAUCCAACGGUGGAUGAUGUAUGAUAGAUUUUCUAGCAGGAGGCUACAUUGAGGAGGCUCGAUCGUUGUCAGCUGGAAAAGCUAAUGGUAAACAGGAGAAACUAACAAUUUCCAGAUGCAAUACAUUUGGGCAAUUUUAUGGAUUUUGUGGCUCUAGAACAGCAUGGUUUCACUCCAAUAAUCUGAAGAUGGAUCUAAGUGCAGUUUGCUCAGAGCACUCUGCAGUUGUAUAAUCACCUAGGCAGAGAAAGCUCUUAGCCUGGUGUGAUUUAGGUCCGAUCUGAUCAGCUAGACGCGAUCGGCGGGCGCCCACAACUGUAAUCAAACUACGGCGGGCGCCCACAACUGUAAUCAAACUACUGCCCUAAAAAUAUCUCUACAGUAGUCGGACGCCAAAGACAUAACCUUGCCCUGGUAAGCAAGCGAUGCAUAUAUUGAAUUCUUUAUAUAUGUGAAGCCAGCAUAGUCGAUAUAUGAGUUGUUUUUUGAGAAAACUGGAAGCUUGCGUCUCGAUGCAUUGAUAGAAGAUACAUGAGUUGUUUUCGUUUUGUAUCUUGGUUCGGUUAAUUUCACAACUUCUCCAGAACUACAAGACAUCUCAGCAGAAGGUUAAAAUGGACUUUGAAGCUUAUGGGCAAAGGGUAAGUAAGUAUACAUGAAAAUCCCAGUGCAGGUGAAGUGAUUCUUCAUUGGUAAAGUUUUCAAUUGUUACAAAAUUGGUAAACCAUCAUGGGUUAACAUUUCUAUAGGUCAUUGAAGUGAAGGACAACGGAUUUUGAUGGCCGUGCAGUCUUAUCCCAAUAUGGUCAAUACAGGCAUAACAGUUGGCUGUUCUUCUGUCUAUAGGCAGCACGCCAACGACACGUGGACAUCAGCAGAUUGAUGUAUCAUACGCCUAGGAGGUACAUGUGUUGUUGUCCCUGUUGGUGUUGAUGGACCACGGUGGUGUUCCCCGCUGAGCUCCUCCAUCCGACGCAGGCCUCUCCCUAAUCUCUUCGGACAAACUCGCCAUCAACAUCUCCUUUUUCCGUUUUUUUGUGAUUACUUCUUUUCCUUUGUAAUGUUUUCUGUUUACAUAAUUAGGAAUAUAUGAAUCUAGAAUUGCUUAUUGUUUAUGAAAAAAAUGUGCUAUUGUGUCUGUGUUUUGUAUAUUGUGGAGUGACUGUUAUCAAAGGAGUUGGGAUUAUUCUGUGAUUAUCUGGAAGAGCUAAUGUUGUACUAUACAACUUCAUUAAUACAUGUGUAAAUCGUUUACCUUAA